GACGAACGCUGGCGGCGUGCUUAACACAUGCAAGUCGAACGGAAAGGCCCUGCUUUUGUGGGGUUCUCGAGUGGCGAACGGGUGAUUAACACGUGAUUAACCUGCCCUUUACUUUGGGAUAACUUCAGUUAACUGGGGCUAAUACCGGAUAGUAGCUCCUGCUGCAUGGUGGGGGUUGGAAAGUUUCGGCGGUUGGGGAUGGACUCGCGGCUUAUCAGCUUGUUGGUGGGGUAGUGGCUUACCAAGGCUUUGACGGGUAGCCGGCCUGAGAGGGUUACCGGCCACAUUGGGACUGAGAUACGGCCCAGACUCCUACGGGAGGCAGCAGUGGGGAAUAUUGCACAAUGGGCGGAAGCCUGAUGCAGCAACGCCGCGUGCGGGAUGAAGGCCUUCGGGUUGUAAACCGCUUUCGCAUGUGACGAAGCGUGAGUGACGGUAAUGGGUAAAGAAGCACCGGCUAACUACGUG
This 468-nucleotide ribosomal RNA is filed under the name uncultured bacterium. Its description in RNAcentral is "partial 16S ribosomal RNA". It matches the Rfam family "Bacterial small subunit ribosomal RNA", at positions 28 to 507 of the family's 1533-position model. The record is from RNAcentral.